CACGUAGGCGGUGCCGCAAGUGGUGUGUGAAAUCUCUCCGCUUAACGGGGAAACGGCGCACCAAACUGCGGUGCUUGAGUUCAGGAGGGGAGAGCGGAAUUCCUGGUGUAGCGGUGAAAUGCGUAGAUAUCAGGAGGAACACCGGUGGCGAAGGCGGCUCUCUGGACUGAUACUGACGCUGAGGUGCGAAAGCUAGGGGAGCAAACA
RNAcentral lists this ribosomal RNA (207 nucleotides) under uncultured bacterium. RNAcentral's name for it is "partial 16S ribosomal RNA". It matches the Rfam family "Bacterial small subunit ribosomal RNA", at positions 568 to 774 of the family's 1533-position model. The record is from RNAcentral.